This 282-nucleotide unclassified non-coding RNA is filed under the name plant metagenome. RNAcentral's name for it is "partial contains small subunit ribosomal RNA, internal transcribed spacer 1, and 5.8S ribosomal RNA". The stretch from base 235 to 282 matches the Rfam family "5.8S ribosomal RNA", at positions 1 to 49 of the family's 154-position model. The record is from RNAcentral.
UUUCCGUAGGUGAACCUGCGGAAGGAUCAUUAUUGUAUAACCGAGGUGCGAGGGCUGUCGCUGACCCGAAAGGUCGUGCACGCCCGAGUGCCCUCACACACAUCCAUCUCACCCCUAUGUGCACCACCGCGUGGGUCCCCCUUUGGCUUGUUCGGAGGGGGGCUUACGUUUUCACACAAACUUUGUAUGCAGUGUAGAAUGUAUUUUUUGUUUUCGCGAUCAUGCAAUCAAUACAACUUUCAACAACGGAUCUCUUGGCUCUCGCAUCGAUGAAAACGCAGC